AACGUAGGAGGCGAGCGUUAUCCGGAUUUACUGGGCGUAAAGCGCACGCAGGCGGCUCCGUGAGUCGGACGUGAAAGCUCUCGGCUUAACCGGGAGAGGCCGUUCGAUACUGCGGGGCUUGAGGUAGGGAGAGGAAUGCGGAAUUCCCGGUGUAGUGGUGGAAUGCGUAGAUAUCGGGAGGAACACCUGUGGCGAAAGCGGCAUUCUGGCCCUCACCUGACGCUGAGGUGCGAAAGCGUGGGUAGCAAACAGG
Molecule: ribosomal RNA, 253 nt
Filed under: uncultured bacterium
Lineage: Bacteria
Description: partial 16S ribosomal RNA
Rfam family: Bacterial small subunit ribosomal RNA
Source: RNAcentral